This 322-nucleotide ribosomal RNA is filed under the name uncultured Kraken. Its description in RNAcentral is "SSU rRNA". The stretch from base 104 to 322 matches the Rfam family "Eukaryotic small subunit ribosomal RNA", at positions 735 to 955 of the family's 1831-position model. The record is from RNAcentral. Lineage: Eukaryota; Cercozoa.
GAUUUCUGGUUUGACAUGCCUGGCCCGCCGCGUCUACGCGUGUGUGUGCCGGUGCGUGUCUGCCAUCCUUCUGGAAAACGUGUCUGACCUUCACUGGUUCGGAUGCGCGAUCCAGAUCAUUUACUUUGAAAAAAUUAGAGUGUUUAAAGCAGGCUUGCGCUAUGAAUACAUUAGCAUGGAAUAAUAAUUUAGGACUUUGGUCUUAUUUUGUUGGUUUCUAGGACUAAAGUAAUGAUUGAUAGGGACAGUUGGGGGUGCUAGUAUUCAGCGGCCAGAGGUGAAAUUCUUGGAUUCGCUGAAGACUAACUUAUGCGAAAGCAUU